GGAUCAUUUGGUGCAAGGUACUGCAUUGCUCUCCUGUGUGUCUGUUAAGACCACAGAUAAUGAAGUAUAGCAGUGGUGUCAUAUGUGCAGUGACAAACAGGAAGAUGGAGAAUAAAAUUAAUCUGUUGUUUAUUAUUGGAAUAAUGAACAAGAAGAAUGAAUCUACUCUGUCCUUCAGAGGUGCCUUGGCUAUAAAUUUAAAGCUGUGAGAGCAUAAUAACUUGCAAUUAUCACUUGACUUGUACAGUUCAUCCUCACUGCUGUCCAAGACUAGGGGAGCUCAGAUUUCAGCCAGCUAUGAGCUCAAGAAUGAAAAUUCCUGGUCUUGCAGCAACAGGGAACCAACACCAGAUGUCAUGAUCACAGCUUUAUCAACUACUUGGAAGAACUUCAUGCUGUGCCUUCUAUACUUUCAGCAGAACUGCAACUUUCUUGCAAAAUACUUAGAGUAGAACCUGUGGCACAGGUGGCUUUGGUCAUAAUUCAUCACAGCAAGGUGUAGUCUAAAGGCUAGAGCACAAAAAAGAGAGAGAAAGGAGGUGAAUGGCAUGUACACUCUCUUUCUGACUUUCGCUCCAGUUCACAGCCUGGUAGGAGAGAGUAGUAGCGUCGUCCAAGGAGUUUCUGAAUUCAAACACGUUUAGCAUAGUACCUUCCUCCUUUCAUUUCCCAGAUAGGGACAGCAGGAUUUCACUUAUGGAAAAUUUGAAGCAGGUUUAUUUUGAAGAGCAUUGUUUUGACCAAAAUGUUCUCAUCACUGUAGAGCUGCAUGCUCUUGUGCCUUAGAGCUGAUAUGCAAAUGUGGUUUCUUUCACCCAGUAAUUCCUCCUUGUGCAUCAGGAGAUAGUAGCAAAUAGAACCUUCCCUUCUAAAAUUUCUCUUGGUUUGCAAUUCCCAGGUAGUGCUUGGCUAGGUUACUGUUCUCCCUGCUUACCAACAGGUUUCAGAAGCAAGCUUCCUUCUCAUUAGAGUUUAGGACUGCACCAAACAAAUUAUAUGAGCAAACUAUUAUCUGGAUAUGUUGAAAAUGUGAGCAAGGCCCCAUAAAGUUUACACAUCUGGUUUACAUUACAAUGGAAUUUAAUCUUGCUAUAGCAGUUCAGAGCAACCUUAGUGACAUUACUUCUGUGGUCCCUUUUCCAGGAUGAAACAAAAAACUGUAAGAGGUAUCUACAAAAAUGUUUGCUUUUCUCCAACUGUUUACCACUGACAUCCUAGUCUUGAAACUCCUCUUAAACCAUUUUUUAUUUCAUCACAUACUCUUGGUAUUUUAUUUUCAUUUUCCUAUGUCAUUGGAAUAGCUUCAGAUCUGCACUACUACUAUUUUGUCCAGUACUAGCAAGUUCCCUGUUUAUAAAAAUUCCACUGCAGCUGUUCAAACUGUCCUUUACUUAAACUGAAAUAAAAGAUGUUAUGCUACAAAAAGUA
This is a long non-coding RNA of Aquila chrysaetos chrysaetos, 1428 nucleotides long. RefSeq lists it as uncharacterized. The record is from RefSeq and is a predicted model, not a curated record. NCBI's taxonomy places the organism in Eukaryota, Metazoa, Chordata, Aves, Accipitriformes, Accipitridae. The transcript is spliced from 2 exons.